UUGGAAGUUGCUAGGAACAAACAAACCAAGCAGUCAAGUAAUUCGGACCCAUUUUACAGACUUUCUAAAAAAGUGGUGGAUGGAGAUUACACACAGUGGAUGACAUUGUCAGUAGAAUUUUGCUCAGAAACAAAUGUUGGGAAUGAACCUUCGUGGUGGGCAGUAGAUCUUGGUGCAAUUUAUGAAAUCAGCAACGUAGUUAUCUUUGGCAGAAGUGACUGUUGUGAUGAGCGACUUUCGAAUUUUAGCAUUGAGGUAAUAAGGCCAUGCAGCAGAAACAACAGCGAUUGGUUUGAGGACAGUGUAAUCGAAGUCUGUUAUUUUCAGGAAGCACCAACUACAAUUCUAAAUGCUUCGUGCCGUAAAAGGAUAUUUGGACAGUAUGUUCGCAUACGACUUAGUAAUCCAAAUUAUUUAGCACUGUGUGAAGUUGAAGUACAUGGAACAUUCAUUGGUUUUCUACAGACAGUUACCUUUCCUUAUGCCUGUGGAUUUCAAGGUCACAGUUAUGAUGGACAUAAUAAGACCCUUGGUAGUGCCAUUGUCUACAGCGACAUUCAUUGUACCUACAUAUGUUCUUACACGAAAGAAUGUCAUGUUGCAGACUUCAACAAGAAGACCUCGUGUUGUACCUUGAUGAAAGAGAAAACUGGAUCCAAUGUUGUGGCUAAAUCUGACCACAACGUUUUUCUAGUCCAUUAAACAUUUGUCUUUGACGAAGUUGAUAUUAGUACUGUUUUUUUGCAAUUCUGAAAACCCAAAAUUUCAAAACAAUAAGUAGACCUAAAACUGUAAAUGCAAGAAGUUUAAAACCCUACUGCAAAUAUAUCAUACAGAGUACAAAUAAAUACUGAUAUUUAACAAAUUAACGUCUAAUUAAAUCAACUGGACGUUAUUUAGUUUUUUAAAACUUUUUGAUUGAAUUAAAGACUUGAAAAAAUGUCCAUGUUUACAGUUUUAAACUACUGAUAGUUAGAUUUUGAAAUGUUAGUUGUAGAUUUUAUUAAGUUAAAUUAAUUAACGCUUAUAAAGCCAGCUCUUUGUUGCUUAUUAUUUAUUGGUAUUUAAUCAAUUGUAUUUUACGAUUCUUUGCGAUGACAAAAUAAAUACAAAUUAACCUAAAAGCUUUUCGUUAUUUAUUGUUGCAAUAUACCUUGAA
Molecule: long non-coding RNA, 1159 nt
Organism: Mytilus californianus (California mussel)
Lineage: Eukaryota; Metazoa; Mollusca; Bivalvia; Mytilida; Mytilidae
Exons: 3
Source: RefSeq, a predicted model, not a curated record